GCGAACGCUGGCGGCAGGCCUAACCCAUGCAAGUCGAACGAACCUUUCGGGGUUAGUGGCGGACGGGUGAGUAACACGUGGGAACGUGCCUUUAGGUUCGGAAUAACUCAGGGAAACUUGUGCUAAUACCGAAUGUGCCCUUCGGGGGAAAGAUUAAUCGCCUUUAGAGCGGCCCGCGUCUGAUUAGCUAGUUGGUUGAGGUAAUGGCUCACCAAGGCGACGAUCAGUAGCUGGUCUGAGAGGAUGAUCAGCCACAUUGGGACUGAGACACGGCCCAAACUCCUACGGGAGGCAGCAGUGGGGAAUCUUGCGCAAUGGGCGAAAGCCUGACGCAGCCAUGCCGCGUGAAUGAUGAAGGUCUUAGGAUUGUAAAAUUCUUUCACCGGGGACGAUAAUGACGGUACCCGGAGAAGAAGCCCCGGCUAACUUCGUG
RNAcentral lists this ribosomal RNA (433 nucleotides) under uncultured bacterium. RNAcentral's name for it is "partial 16S ribosomal RNA". It matches the Rfam family "Bacterial small subunit ribosomal RNA", at positions 29 to 507 of the family's 1533-position model. The record is from RNAcentral.